RNAcentral lists this long non-coding RNA (7185 nucleotides) under Homo sapiens (human). Its description in RNAcentral is "HSALNT0363999". The record is from RNAcentral. Lineage: Eukaryota; Metazoa; Chordata; Mammalia; Primates; Hominidae.
GCCUUACAGCCUGUGGUGGUUGCCGAAGAACUUUAAUUACAGUGUCAGAGUGUUCAGGGACAGUCCCAACUCCCUUCAUGUGAGGAUUGCAGAAAUGGGCUUGGAUCGUAUACAGACAGCGUUAUGAGGCAUUGCUGAAGAACAGUAAGUUCUUACACAGAAGUUGUCAACUAAUAUAUGCAUUUUCUUUGCCAUACCCCAAGAGGCAGGAGCUGAUUCCUAUAUAGUUAGGAUAUAGCUGACCAAUGUUCUCUUUAAAUGUAAUUUCCAUCUGCCACAUUUUAAAUUACAGGUUUUUGCAUCAGGAAACUGUUGGGUCCAAUUAUUUGGUGCCUUGGAAAGGGCAUUAAAUGCAUAGUGAGAAGAUCCUGGUUUAAUCUGACAUUCCACUUACUAGGUGUAGAAGCUUGAGCAAGUUAAUUAAUCUUUGAGUCUGUAUACCCAGCUGCAAAAUGAGGAUAAUGCUUAUCUUACAGAGUGUUGUGAAAGCAAUGAAGAUUGUGUGAAAGGGUUUCAUAAACUGACAAGCACUGCACAAAUGUAAGGUCCCCUAAGGAAAACCUUUUCAAAACUCAAAAUCUAUAUGAACAGAGAUACUUAUUCAUGUUGGGUGGAAUGUUUUACAGCCAUUAAAAAUUGUAAGAGAAAAUAUAUUGAAAAAUACAAUCUAAAAUGGUGAGUUUGCAAUUACAACAGUGUAAAACCUGUGUACAUAGACUAGAAUAUGGAAAAAAUGGAUUACAGGGUAGUGGAAUUGAGUGACUUUUGCUUUAAAGACUCUUAGGUAUAUUAGGUGUAUUCAGUUUAGUUCAAUAAACUUUUAUUGAGCUCUCACUCUCCCAAUCCCCGUGCUAGAUUCUAUGAGUGCUGAGACAAAUAGGACAUACUCCCUGCUCUCAGAGACUCCCAUUCUGUACAGUCUUGUCAAAGUUUACUGUGUAUGUGAAUCACUGCGGAGCGUAUUAAAAAUUCACAUUAUCUUACUCCCACCAGAAGAUCUGAUUCAGUAGGUCUGUGAUGGAACUAGCUCACAAUUUACAUUGUUUUAAACAGUCACCCUGAGUAAUUCUAGUGUAAGUAUUUUAAUUCUGUACUGAGAAACCUGCAGUGAGAUUUUAAUAUUUUUACACUAAACGGUAAGUAAUAAUUAUACAAAUCUGCUCAUUGAAGAAGUUACCUGUUUUCUCUGCAUGCUUGAGCUGGUUUUUAUGUGUCUCUAUCAAGGAUGGGAAGGCCAGCCUGCAGUGAUACCCCUUGGAACCCUUGCAGUGUAGAAACUACCACACCUCUCAACUUUUAUCUCUUUUCCUCACUCCAUUUCUCCCCACCACUUCUCCUAAUGUUUUCUUCUUUCUAUGCAAGUGUUAAUCUCCCACUCUGGUUCCUUCUAUGCCUAGUACUGUAUCAACAUCCAGGUGCUUCCCCUUCCUUUCUCCACCCCACCCCCCAGCCAGAUAUGUCAAUUGUAUUGAAAACAACUUACAUCUAGUUUACUAAGUACAAACUUGUGCUGGUUAAUGCUUCUCAAAAAGUAGGAGUGGGCUGUUUGUUGAGAUCAACAAUCAUUUUUUUAAAAAUCCGAUAUGGAAAUUUUUGUGUCAAGUUUCACUGUCAUUUAGUUCUUGACUGAUUUUCUUCUGAUGGGUUAGUAGCUCUCAACAGAAGAUUUUAAAAGUCCCCUGCUCAGGUACCUGUCCUGCCGAUAGAGCUGGGGUGUACCCUGCACCCUGACUCAACAUUGCUUGUCUCCACAUGCCUGUAAAUGGGCUUGGGUGGCUUUCUCAGGCUACACACCUGUCACUUCUUAGUCACCCAGAAUCAAAAUAUUAACAGCUCUGAUCACAUUUUCUGAACCUAUGAGGCUUUAUUUCAAGAGUGGUGACACUCCAAAAUGCAGCUAGGAUUUCCGCAUUUUCACGUGUUAGUGUUGAAAUCAUUUUUACUUCAGGAAACCAAGGGUUGGACAAUGGCUUCCAGACUUUCUCCUUUCGUUAUGCUCCUUCAGCGCCUUAUGCAAAUACCGGUUGUCUUAUGCUGCCAUUCGUCUCCUCUGCCAGAAUGUGAGGUCCGCGACAGCAGGGAUAAGAAUGCAUUCAUUUUUAUAUCUGCAGUGCCUUGGAGAGUGUCUGACACAUAGUGGGCACUCAUUUAGAAACCACCAAUUGAAUCAUUAAGGUGACCAAAAACAGGGUGGGGGAAAUACGUCCAUCAGACAACAGGGAAAUAUUUCUUAAAAAAAAAAUUUCCCAAAACUAGCUUUUCCCUCCUUAUGUGUCUGAAAUAUCUCAUAAAAUUUUAAACUAUCCCUUUCAGCACAAAUCUGCCUGGAGCUGUUUCCUGAACACAGGACCAAAAGGCAGGAAUCAAAAGUAGUAAUGAGUUUAGUUAUCUGUCUGUUACUGAAGGUGACUUCUAGGGCAUCCUCCUGGCAUUGCUUCUGGAAUACAGUGACUUAGACUUAUUCGGAAGAACAUCUCUAUGCUGUUCAUCACAUCGCCAGCACCUAGCCCUGUGCCUGUGCAUAGUAAAUGCUCAGUAAGUAUUGUUGAAUGAUUGUAUUAAAUUGAGAAGAAAUUCAGAAGCUAGUCCCAAAUGAAUUUAAUUGCUCAGAUUUUCAGUUAGUGGUUUUCCCCAACUUGCUCCCUUAAUCUAGACAAUUUUACUGCCUCCAAAUUGAAGGUAGCUACUAUUUAUGUCAUCGAAUUUAACAAAUGUUAACUUAUGUCUAUUCUGUGCCUAUCUGUGGGCUACCCAAAAUUAAACCUAACCUCAUGUAGUUUCAGUCCCCAUACAGUUGGUUCAUAAUUCUCAGUGCUCCCACAGUCCUUUGAACAUACCUCUUAUAACAUUGCCCAAAUACUACUGGAGAUACCUGCCUAUUUCUCUCCCCAGAAAGACCCUGAAAUUCUGAAGAACCUAGUCUUAUCUUGGUAUUCCUAUGCUGAACUUGAAGUAGUAGGUUCUCAGAAAAUCCCUGCUGAGACUUGACUAACUUGUACAUAAAUAACCAUUCCCUAGUAACAUGUGUUUGAAUAGAAAUAUAUUUUGUAUUUGAAUAGAAAGAAACAUAUGGUUUUCUAAGUAUAUUCCUAAUUUAAAGGGAUACUAGGGGAAAGAAACAAGAUUGGUUUUUGUGUCUCUAUUAAACACCUUCCAAGGUGUCUUACUUAGUUAUCAAACCUGUCCUUUUUCUGACAAUUCCCCUACCCCUGUCCUGGCCAGUGGGUCCCUAGCAGACAUCCUGGGGGCCAGAGCUUCCUUUGCUGAUUGGUGUAGGGAUGGACACCUGAUCCCAAAUAGACCAGUUUCACCUUCUCUUGGGAAAUUGGGGUUGAGGACACUGGAGAGUCUGGACUGGUUGCUUGAGCCAGGAACACAUAAACUUAGGAGCCAGUGGGUAUAACCAUGUACCCAGAGAGACAGAGAAAGCAGUCUUCAGAGAAAGAAACGAAGGCAAAAUGUUCGGAGGUGAGGGAGACAUGCAAAAUGGAUGCCUGGUUUUUGCCAUGUUUAUUCCCUGGUUGCUACUCUUUCUGAGGCCAGAUUAUUCAACUUUUCCAUGGGUUCCACGGGAGAUAACUCACUUACCAUCUCCAUUGGAUCGUGAGUGAGUUUGAAAUGAGUAUCUGCUUUCACAACUAAAAGAAGUCAAAUUAAUAUACUGUGUGACUUACAGAAGGAAUUCUCAUUACUUUUUAAGUCUCAUUACCUUAUAAUCACAUCUACAUAUCCCAGAAUAUAUGUCAAUCAGGAAUUACUUAGAUGGGAAAUUCCUGAUAAAAUAAGAUGCAGUAGGAGGGUAAGUGGCUUCUUUGCUUUUCAAAUUUUUUAAUAAUCUAAGUCACAAAAACAGAAAGCAAAUAAAUGGAGGCUUAUUUACAGAGGGGAUUGGACACGUCAGACCUUUUUUGGAACCACACAAUUGGAUUUAAAAGAUUUUGAAGAACCAACACAUUUGGCAGCUUCCCAAACCAUCUAUUUUUGAAGAUUCUGCUUUCCAGAACUGUAUUAAGAAUGGCCCUUGUCAUGGGCGUUAGCUGUGUUUCAGGCUAGCCAAAACUAAAAACUGGAAGAGACUAAAUAAGUAUGUGUGCAUGUAGAGCAGCCCAGACCCUGCAAGUGGACUGACCAUAAACAAUGAUGGCCAAAUCUAUGAAAAUAAGAUAAAGACCUUGCUCUUCAGAAACAGUGCCAGAUGUGUUCAGAGCUUUGUAUACCACACUCUUUCAGCCCUGGUAUGCCACACCGUGAAUUUAGUGUUCACUUACAAUAAUCAUUUUGAAAACAUGCAUGGAAAAUACAGAGGAACUGUGAACUGCUAAAAUCAUUUGUCUGGUUCAGGAAAGUUUCAGAGGAAAAUCUCGGGGCUUUUUCCUAGAAUGUUAUGAAAAUAUUAAAUUAUACUGAUUGCUGCCAACAUAUUUUCUAACCAUUCUAGGAAAAGAAAAAACAACAAAGUUUCCAGCUCUUACUCUAGAUUGACACUGGACCUUGGAGAUGCUUGCAGCCACUAAAUGUAAUGCCACAUGAUUGUUGACCCAACAAUAAUCCAGUUAAAAAACAGUCUUCAGAGUUACUACAUCAUCAGAAUUAACCCUGAUUACAUCAAAUUAUGUUGAAACAGACCACAGCUGUUUGCCCUGUUGAAGCAACUGCUUGAGAGCUCCUCCGGAAGAUACAUCUGGGUGUCACUAAGAUACAUUUUGGGUUUAGUUUUGUUUCUCAACACAAAUGUAGGAGGGAAACAAACCCUGUUCUGCUGGGGUGCCUGGUGGGAGCUGAAAACCUUGUGAUUCUCCAGCAGUCAAAAGUCAUCUCAAUUACCAAAGAGAAGGGAACCUGAGAUCUUUUGUUUCAGUUUUCUAUAGGAAGGAUGUAAGAGGAAGGAAAUUCAAAUCUGUUGAGUAUUGCUCUUGCCAGCAAAAAGAAGUGGAACUGACUAGUGAGAUGGUGGUGAGAUUUUCUUUGGUGGCUGUGUGCAGUGGUAUCAACCCAGGAGAGUAGACUGUUCAAUUGUGAAGAAUUUUGCAAGAUGGUUGUUAAAGUAGAACAUCGUUAAAAUUAAGUUGUAAUAAAAAAAGGGAAAUAAGCAUUGGAAAAGAUGUGGACAGAUUGGAACCCUCAUACAUUGCUGAUGGGAAUGUAAAAUGGUGUAGCCACUGUGGAAAAAAGGUCAGCAGUUCCUUAAAAAGUUAAACAGUGUCACCAUAUGACUCAGCAUUUUCACUCCUAGAUAAAUACGUAGAUUGAAAACGUAUGUCCACACAAAAACUUGUACAGGAAUGAUCGCAACAGCAUUAUUCAUAAUAGCCAAAAAGUGGAAACAACUGUAAUGUUCAUCAGCUGAUGAAUGGAUAAAAUGCGGUAUAUAAAGAACUGUCAAGUGCUUCAACAUGGAUGAAACUUGAAAACAUUAUACAAAGCGAAAGAGGUUAGACACACAGGUCACAUAUUGUAUGAAUAUGGUUAUGUGAAAUGUCUAGAAUUGGCAAAUCCAUAGAGAUGAAAAGUAGGUUAGCGGUUGCCAGCUGAUGGGAUUGGGGGAAUGGAGAGUUGCUAAUGGAUAUGGUGUUUCUUUUGGGGUAAUGAAAAUGUUCUGGAAUUAGAUAGCUGUGGUGGUUGUCAAAGUUGAUGAAUAUAUUAGAAACCAUGAAUUAUAAACUUUAACAUGGUGACUUUUGUGAUACGUGAAUAUCUUAAUUAAAAAUUAAGUUAUAUAAACUUAUAAUUAAAUAAGUUAUAUUAAAAAGAAAGGUAGUAACUACCCCAAACUCAUCACUUGGCUAAUUACAUUUUACUAUUGUGUUCUUGGUGUUAUUUAUGUCUAUUGUGUCUUUAUGUUGGAAAUACUAAAUAAUGGUGUAUUACUGUGUAUCUCUUAACUCUGUAUUCAAGGACAUUAACUUGAUAGCUUAAAACUGGCCAUGGCUGGCAGAGUAUUUAUGCCACAACAGUUGGCAUAUACUGUAAAUCAAGGCACCCACCAACACCACCAGGGAGCCAAUUUUAAAAUAUUUGCCAGCACAUCAUUGGCUAUAUUGUCGGACAAUCAUCUUGGGUAAUUCUGGUAGAAUUAUAUAGUUAGAUGAGGUGAAAUCCUGAGGCCUCUAGGUUCCCAGCAAAACAAAGACUAGCAAGCCUGCACAGUUACUAUGCAAUUUAUCAGGUGCAGAAGGAAAUGACGUUUCUGGUCAUCUGUUGAAUAAAGCCACUUUGAGUUCAGGGGACAUGGUUUUCUCCAGCUUCACUAGUGUUGCAUCUGGUACAAGGGGUUAAGUGCUAAACCCCUGUAGGAUUGUCACAGUGAAGCCAGAUAACAGAGUAACCGCAAAGAGAUUUAAUUCUGUAGUCCCACAAAGGAGGGUGUGUAAAGAGUGUACAACAGUGUCAGAGUUUGGAAACCAAGGGUUGACAAAGUUGGUUCUCUGGAAUCUGGGGGUACCAGUUAAAAGGUUAAAAGGAGUCAUUGUUUUCUGAAACUAUCCAAGAGUUACAGCCAUGUUUUUUUGUUUUUGUUUUUGUUUUUAAGAUUUCGGGGGAAUCUUAUUUUCUCACAUGUUUCUGGAAUUUUUCUUUUUUUUUUAAUUUAAGUUCCAGGGUACAUGUGCAGGAUGUGCAGGUUUGUUACAUAGGUAAAUGUGUGCUAUGGUGGUGUGCUGCACCUAUCAACCCAUGACCAAGGUAUUAAGCUCAGCAAGCAUUAGCUAUUUUUCCUAAUGCUCUCCCUCCCCCAACCCCCUACCCACUCACAGGUCCCAGUGUGUGUUUCCCUCCCUGUGUCCUGUGUUCUCGUUGUUCAGCUCCCACUUAUAAGUGAGAACAUGCGGUGUUUGGUUUUCUGUUCCUGUGUUAGUUUGAUGAGGAUAACGCCUUCCAGCUCCAUCCAUGUCCCUGCAAAGGACAUGAUCUCGUUCCUUUCUAUGUCGAGUUACAACCAUUUUUAAAAGUGGAACUGCACAGGAUUACCUCAGCCUGCUAAGUCCUUCCAGCUAGGCCGUCCCUGUGGGUUUAAACGCAAUGUAAAGAAAGUGGAUGUUAAGUGUUCUUACCACAAAAAUGAUAACUAUAUUAGUUAAUGCAUUUGUUAGUUAGCUAGAUUUAACCAUCCCACAGUGUAUUUUAUGUAUUUGUAUUUAUAUUUCAAAACAUCAUAUUGUACAUAAUAAACACAUCGAUGUUAUCUGA